Molecule: non-coding RNA, 58 nt
Organism: Zea mays
Lineage: Eukaryota; Viridiplantae; Streptophyta; Magnoliopsida; Poales; Poaceae
Source: Rfam
UAGCUUAGUUGGUAAAAUACAAGGCUCUUAACCUUGUGGUCGUGGGUUCGAGCCCUAC